AUUGAACGCUGGCGGCAGGCUUAACACAUGCAAGUCGAGCGAGCGGCGGACGGGUGAGUAAUGUCUGGGAAACUGCCCGAUGGAGGGGGAUAACUACUGGAAACGGUAGCUAAUACCGCAUACCAUCAGAUUUGCACAGAUGGGAUUAGCUAGUAGGUGGGGUAAUGGCUAACCUAGGCGACGAUCCCUAGCUGGUCUGAGAGGAUGACCAGCAACACUGGAACGGAGACACGGUCCAGACUCCUACGGGAGGCAGCGGUGGGGAAUAUUGGACAAGGGGGGCAAUCCUGAUGCAGCCAUGCCGCGUGUGUGAAGAAGGCCUUCGGGUGGUAAAGCACUUUCAGCGAGGAGGCGUUACUCGCAGAAGAAGCACCGGCUAACUCCGUGCCAGCAGCCGCGGUAAUUC
RNAcentral lists this ribosomal RNA (406 nucleotides) under uncultured bacterium. Its description in RNAcentral is "partial 16S ribosomal RNA". It matches the Rfam family "Bacterial small subunit ribosomal RNA", at positions 30 to 526 of the family's 1533-position model. The record is from RNAcentral.